CCUACGGGAGGCAGCAGUGAGGAAUAUUGGUCAAUGGACGAAAGUCUGAACCAGCCAAGUAGCGUGAAGGAUGACUGCCCUAUGGGUUGUAAACUUCUUUUAUAUGGGAAUAAAAUGUUCCACGUGUGGGAUUUUGUAUGUACCAUAUGAAUAAGGAUCGGCUAACUCCGUGCCAGCAGCCGCGGUAAUACGGAGGAUCCGAGCGUUAUCCGGAUUUAUUGGGUUUAAAGGGAGCGUAGGUGGAUUGUUAAGUCAGUUGUGAAAGUUGGUGGCUCAACCGUAACAUUGCAGUGGAAACUGGCAGGCUUGAGUACAGGAGAGGUAGGCGGAAUUCGUGGUGUAGCGGUGAAAUGCUUAGAUAUCACGAAGAACUCCGAUUGCGAAGGCAGCAUACGGGAGCGCAACUGACACUGAGGCUCGAAAGCGCGGGUAUCGAACAGGAUUAGAUACCCCGGUAGUC
Molecule: ribosomal RNA, 460 nt
Filed under: uncultured bacterium
Lineage: Bacteria
Description: partial 16S ribosomal RNA
Rfam family: Bacterial small subunit ribosomal RNA
Source: RNAcentral